AGCAGAAGGGCCUUGUCACUUGGUGGUGGGAUUCCUCUGUGGCAGGAGGCUCAUCCAAAGAGAGCUGGAGAAAUCCCCCUGGCUGGCUGGGAAAGGAAAGAGCUCAGAUAGUCGAGUCUCCCUGCUCCACAUGGUCACUGAGUAUCAAUCCAUACCCCUGAACGACGCCAUUAAACCAACCUAACCUCCAGUGUAGACAAGGACUCCCGUCAACGAUCCUACCUAGGUGGAGUACCGACGCCAGCUGCAGAACCCCUCCUGUCGGAAUAACUCCAUAGAGGAGCAAGAGGAGAAGGGCUGUAGGUGAAGAAGACUUGACUGAGAGAGAUCACCAGGCAGGUGUCCAAUUUAUUGAAAAAUAUCCCUCCAGUGUUUAUGCAAGAAUCACGUUUAUUUGUUUUUUUUCAUUCACUGCCUGCCGAAUGUUUCAGCCUUAUCGCGAGGCUCCAAGGUAUGCCAGCUCUAAUCCGUGACUCCGAGUUAACUGCUAUCAAAAGACAAAUUGGGCAAGAUUCCAGCAGCGUGCAUUGUUGAUAGUCCAAUAAGGAAUCAAUAAUACAGUUAGUUACCAUAAAGCUUACAGACUACUGUUGUGGUAGCAACCAAGUAUUAAAGAAGCUAUUGGAUAUCUAACUGGAAAACUCUCAGACAGACCUAUUAUUUAUUUGUUUGUAGCACCAAGGAGCUCUAGUGAUGGGACUAGUAUCCCAUUGUGCUAGGCACUGUACAAACAUAGACAACAAAAACAAAUCCGCCUGAGCCCCAAGGAGCUUACAUUCAAAGUAGUAAUAAUAAAUAUUUAUACUAUGGGAGUGUCCAAAUGGGCUUGGGCUCCAUUGUGCAGGGCACUAUACAGAAAGAGACAAUAUCUGCCCUGAAUUUACAAUCCAAAGACAUCAACAGACAAAAGGGAGGCAAUGUGGAUACAGAAUAAAAGAAGAACAGGAGUACUUGUGGCACCUUAGAGACUAACAAAUUUAUAGAAUAAAAGGAAGUGGAUGUGGUGAAGAAUUGACACCAUGUUGUUGACUAGUUAUGUCUUUUGAAUUUUUUUUUAAAUUGGGGUUAGAGGUGGGGAGGAAGGGAGUAGGAAAAGGAUAGGAAGAGGAUUUUUAGGGCUUGGGAAGUAAAAAGAUGCUGCGUUAGUUCCAUAUAAAAUAUUGAAAGAUGUAACCUCUAAUCCCACGUUACUGACUUUUUGCGUAGAUUCUAGGGUUCCCGCUCUAUGAUCCCUGUGUGCAGAGGAGUGGGACGACAUGAAGGGAAAUACAUGAGAAUCCAUCAAAUUUUCUUGCCUUGGGGAGAUAAAAGAAAUUAACAUGCCAUCAAUGGAACUUCCAAAUGUUUUAAGGAGUUGCCUUGCUAGUCCUGGAAUAGGGUGCUAAAUUCUCCUUGGCUGUUGUAUAUGGAUACAUAAAAACCUUAGGGCAAUAGCAGGGCCUCUGGAUUUCAACCACAAUCUACUCUUGAGAGUGGGCCAUAGGGUAGGUCAAGAUUUGUGGGAAAGGAACAUUCCCUUCUUCCCUGUGAGUGUUCUUUCUAUCAGCUGGCCUGCCCUCCAUGCAGGGGCCUGAGGUUAUGAUAGAUGCUCAUUAUACAUAGUCUAAGAAGACCAAAGGCAAAAUGAAGCCUCUUCACAGAAUUUUGCUGUGUCUCUUCUGUGAAGGAGGCAUAGGGACUGAAUGACCAGAGCAAGCCAUUGACCAGAUUCUGCUCUCCUUUACGUUGACUUCAAUGGAGCAAUACCAAUUUAAGCCCACUGAGAAUCUGGCCCAUUAUUUGUAAUGUGGGUUGAUCAGAGUUGAGGAUCAUCAUUGGGGAAGUACACACGGCUACUCUGCCAGUGCUGUACCAAUGAUGUGGUGCCGCAGAUGGCUACACACUGCCCAGGGCUGUCAAUCUGACAACUUUCUCCAGCACUCACCAGACCACAUGAAUCAAGUGGCAUCUUCUUGCUGUAGUGUGAAAAUAAUGAAAUGUGAAUCUCAGCAUUGGUAGAAAUUAGCCUAAAUGAUACACCUGAAUCAGCAGUUUAUUUGACAACAUAACUGCAGAUUGAUGACAACCCAUUUUUAAAAAAAAUAAUGACAUGUUGAUUAUAUGUUAGCAUUGCCAAGGAUUAAAAAAACACUCUAGAAAAAUGGGUACAGCCUGGAGUUUUGCAAACAUUCCCUAGUGGCAAAGGGCUAAAGUCUUCUAUUAUGAAAUACCGGACAAGAGAACACUUCUUAUGUUGUGAGUAUGUCCCAGUGCCAGGAAUAGGAUGUUUCCGAGUGCAGCUUCUUCACAGCACCAUAAAGAUUGGAGUGAGGGGGAGGAAGAGCAAAAGGAGCUUUAAAGAGAAAUGUGUGAACUAUUACUGACGUGAUUAAUCCAACUGGGCAGUUGCAACAUGUAUACUAGUGCUUUGGAAAUAAUAGAGUGGCUUCAUAAAUGGCUAGUUUUUAGACAUGAAGGUGUGCAAUGAAAUUGCAGGAUAAAUUAAAAUAAACAUAAAAGCCCCCACCCACCCCCGACUUUACUGCAUAAUGAAAUGGAGAGAACUAUAACUUGUCCCUUCAGUGGAUACACAGGGCAAUGUCUGCCAGGGAAAAAAAUAUAAUAUACAUAAUGGAGCAGAUUCUCUGUUCCAUCUGAAUUGCUUUUGAGUGUGGUUGCUAGCAUAAGGUAUCUAUGAAGCUGUUGUAGCUGGUUCUGGGAAGAUCAACUCAGUGUAAGAGGAUGGUCAGGGGCAGAGGGCCAAAGAAGUGGUCUUUCCACAGCCACAGUAGUGGGUGUGGUCAUGGAGAAAGGUGAACGUCUUCCCUGAUGGUUGUAAUGUCUCCUUGGGGCCAUUGGAAGCUAGUUACAUUGGAGCAGCCUUCAGGCUGCUCUCACUUAAGCCAGGGGAAUGGACAUAGGUAAGUAAAGACAGCCCUUGUUCGGGGGGGUCAAAGAUGGUGGUGUCAGAUGUUCAGCUGCGUGCGUGUGUUCUCUCUGCAUGCUGUACUGACUCUAGCCAGACAGCCCGUAUUGAACUGUCCAAUAAAUCCACAGACUUGGUUUUCUAGCGAAGGUGCCGACGAAGCAUGGUGCUAAUGCCCCGGCUCAACGGUUACAGGUAAACUAACACACGUAUGCCCAUGACAAUGGAUACAGCUCAGUCAUGGCGGGACUUUCCACUGCUCCCUCAGUUGGACAAAGACACUCCCUCUGAGAUACAUCUUUAUACACAAAUACAAACAAAUUACAUAUUGCCCCGACGUAUCAGGGUGCCACCCUCUAACGUAUUAGGGUGCCACCCAUUGUCUUGUUCCUGUAGGUUCGAUUAAAACAUCUCUAUUUAUCAUGCUGUCAUCCUGACCUUAUCCUUAAGAUGGGUCAGCAUGUUUCUGUUAUCUUUGGGGAAUGUGUUUAUCGGGGUGUUCUGGUACCAGCCUUCUGGAAUGUGCUUGCGUGAGUGCUUUAUGCCUCGCAUCUCUUUGGAAUAUGCGCUUUUGCAAUAUCAGCUCUAUGCUUGCCAAAUUCUGUGAGCAGGGCCUGCCUCUUGCUCACAACUUAACUUUGCUUUAUAUCAGCAGUUUUGACUAUUUUAGCCCAGGCCUCAGGCCUCAUACCAGGCCUCUGAUACGUGGGCUUAUGUUUCAGGGCCUCUUCCUAAUACAGAUGGUUUGAAGUUGAUACACGUUUGGCACUGUAUAUUCACCAUGUGUCUGAUAGAAUGAAUGUAAAAAUAGGGUAUUCUUUUGCUUGGCCCAUUGCAGGCAGCUGCUUCUUUUUGCCUUCUAAGUGUAUGGAUGUUACUGACAGCACCUUACAUCUGCUCUUAACCAUUUCUCCUUGAUUCAAUAAGCAUCCAUUGGAAGUGGCCCCAAAUCCAUCAGGCCCACAUCAUAUUAACCCAGUCCUUAAGGACACUGCAACACUCUGUACCGCAAAGCAGCGCCUGGAAAUCCCAUAUUCUCCACGGUCAUAGAAUUAUGAUAUGUUUAGUAAAGUAUGCCUUGUGAGGUAUCAUUUUAAAUGUCUUGAUCUGUUGAACAUUAAUAUCUUGUUGGAUUGUAUGUGCUAUCAUUGUAUGUGAAGUUAUGAAGUUUUGCUAUGUGUGUGUUACUGAAAUACAUUGUGAGGUUGGGAACACCCACAACCAGCCUUUCAGGUACAAUAAUGGAGUAGCCAGACAUCGGUUAAUGGCUCAUCAGCACCCAAAGAAUCCACUAUCCCAGGAACUGUAUACAAUGGAGACUUCUCAGAGAGAACACAUAGACAAUGGAGACUGUUUGGCCAGUGGGGACUGCCUGAUUCCCCACGUCAAACAAUCUUUCCAGCAAGCUGGAAGAAACUAUAAAAGAGAGGAAACGACAUCAUCACUGGGCCUCUACCCCACCCCCAACGCAACACCUGGAAGAAACGUCUGGAGGACAAAGACUUGGAACUGGAGGAGGGUGGUCCCAUGUUGGAAGGCAGCCUGUGUAUUGAGGAUCUGUGGCCUGUUUGUACCAUCUAUCCUGGGGAGACAGUGCUUGAUUCAAAUCCAGUUUAGUUCGUAGAACUCAGACUGCGAAUUUUGUUUCUUACGAAACCAACUCUGAUUUCUAUGCCUGCUACUUAUGAUCUUUCUGUAGUUAAUAAAUCUCUUUUCUAUUUGACCUCAAACAGUGUGUUUUGUUUGGAGUGCUUGGGCAAUCUCCGCUCAGUUUACAAAGGCUAGUAGUGUGUGUAUUCUCCACACUGAGGGAGUGGCGGACUGGGUAAUGAACUUACACUGGCCAGGUUUCUGACCAAUGCAAGAUGUACAGUUCUUAGGUGCAAGGCUGGGGACCUGGCGGGAAUU
Long non-coding RNA from Trachemys scripta elegans, 4813 nucleotides. RefSeq lists it as uncharacterized. Lineage: Eukaryota; Metazoa; Chordata; Testudines; Emydidae. The transcript has 3 exons. The record is from RefSeq and is a predicted model, not a curated record.